Molecule: transfer RNA, 64 nt
Filed under: Actinomycetota bacterium
Lineage: Bacteria; Bacillati; Actinomycetota
Description: Actinobacteria bacterium tRNA-Thr
Rfam family: tRNA
About the family: Transfer RNA (tRNA) molecules are approximately 80 nucleotides in length.
Source: RNAcentral
CCCUAGCUCAGUCGGUAGAGCGUUUCCAUGGUAAGGAAAAGGUCAUCGGUUCGAUUCCGAUGGG